CUGGCCUACCAUGACGGAGUUAUAACGUGGCUUAUUUAUAUGACAAAAAUUUACUUAUAUGAUAAAAAAAUGAUAAUGAGAUAAAAUAGUAGUUUUUAUUUCCUAAAUUAGUCCCUCUAAUUUAGUUAUAAUUUUGACUUAUUUUGAUCCAAAGCCCUUCUCACCUUUUUGAUACUUGAACACCGACGAUGACUUUGAGAGGUGAUGUUUGCCUUCAGUGAC
RNAcentral lists this long non-coding RNA (222 nucleotides) under Elaeis guineensis (African oil palm). Its description in RNAcentral is "long non-coding RNA (EGUI_LNC011566)". The record is from RNAcentral. Lineage: Eukaryota; Viridiplantae; Streptophyta; Magnoliopsida; Arecales; Arecaceae.